GGACUACAGGGGUAUCUAAUCCUGUUUGCUCCCCGCACUUUCGCGCCUCAGCGUCAGUCAUCGGCUCGAAACCCGCCUUCGCCACCGGUGUUCUUCCUGAUAUCUACAGAUUUCACCCCUACACCAGGAAUUCCGGUUCCGCCUCCGUGACUCAAGUUACACAGUUUCCAGCGCAGUCCAUGGGUUGAGCCCAUGCCUUUCACGCCAGACUUACAUAACCGCCUACGCGCCCUUUACGCCCAAUAAUUCCGAACAACGCUCGCCCCUUACGUGUUACCGCGGCUGCUGGCAC
RNAcentral lists this ribosomal RNA (292 nucleotides) under uncultured bacterium. Its description in RNAcentral is "partial 16S ribosomal RNA". The record is from RNAcentral.